This 631-nucleotide long non-coding RNA is filed under the name Carica papaya (papaya). RNAcentral describes it as "long non-coding RNA (CPAP_LNC003911)". The record is from RNAcentral. Lineage: Eukaryota; Viridiplantae; Streptophyta; Magnoliopsida; Brassicales; Caricaceae.
UUCGAUGUUUUGAACACUGAUUCGGGUAAUAAUCUCUCAUCUUAUUCCCUAUUAUAGAAUUGAAAUUUAAUUAUCAAUAAUAUUGUAUUUUGCAUAAUUUAAAAAACUUCAAGAAUUAAUUACAGGUUACUAAUAGAGACAGAACUGGUUAUCUUUAAUUAUUUGUCCUAUUUAACUGUUUGUUUGAUUUUGCAGUUUUAAAUGCAUUAUAAUAUAUUAGAAUUGGUAAAAUAAUUCAGUUGUGUUUUUCUUGAUGCAUGUAUUAUUUGUCUUGUGUUGAUUUACGGUUAAAUUGUGAAACUGAAAAUUAAAUGUGAACAAAAAUUUGAUUGGUUAAAUAAAUGAAUGAAUGGUAGCCUUACUGGAUAUCCUAAUAGAUGAUGGAUGGACCAGGUACAUAGAAAAUCCUACCGUAAACGUCACCUCAUAUCGGACGGGGUAUCCAGGAUUAGUAUUUUUGGUGCUCAUACCAGAUGGGGUAUGGGGACGACUCGUUUCACCCUCAUACCGGACGGGAUAUCGAUGAUUGGUAUUUUUGGCACUCAUACUAGACGGGAUAUAGGGACGACCAGUUUCACCCUCAUACCAGACGGGAUAUUGAGGGAUGGUAUUUUUGGCGCUUAUACUAGAC